RNAcentral lists this ribosomal RNA (186 nucleotides) under Aeromonas caviae. RNAcentral describes it as "partial 16S ribosomal RNA". It matches the Rfam family "Bacterial small subunit ribosomal RNA", at positions 1 to 174 of the family's 1533-position model. Lineage: Bacteria; Pseudomonadati; Pseudomonadota; Gammaproteobacteria; Aeromonadales; Aeromonadaceae. The record is from RNAcentral.
ACUUAAAUUGAAGAGUUUGAUCAUGGCUCAGAUUGAACGCUGGCGGCAGGCCUAACACAUGCAAGUCGAGCGGCAGCGGGAAAGUAGCUUGCUACUUUUGCCGGCGAGCGGCGGACGGGUGAGUAAUGCCUGGGAAAUUGCCCAGUCGAGGGGGAUAACAGUUGGAAACGACUGCUAAUACCGCAU